Molecule: ribosomal RNA, 497 nt
Filed under: uncultured bacterium
Lineage: Bacteria
Description: partial 16S ribosomal RNA
Rfam family: Bacterial small subunit ribosomal RNA
Source: RNAcentral
GAUGAACGCUGGCGGCGUGCCUAAUACAUGCAAGUCGAGCGAACGGACGAGAAGCUUGCUUCUCUGACGUUAGCGGCGGACGGGUGAGUAACACGUGGAUAACCUACCUAUAAGACUGGGAUAACUUCGGGAAACCGGAGCUAAUACCGGAUAAUAUUUUGAACCGCAUGGUUCAAAAGUGAAAGACGGUCUUGCUGUCACUUAUAGAUGGAUCCGCGCUGCAUUAGCUAGUUGGUAAGGUAACGGCUUACCAAGGCAACGAUGCGUAGCCGACCUGAGAGGGUGAUCGGCCACACUGGAACUGAGACACGGUCCAGACUCCUACGGGAGGCAGCAGUAGGGAAUCUUCCGCAAUGGGCGAAAGCCUGACGGAGCAACGCCGCGUGAGUGAUGAAGGUCUUCGGAUCGUAAAACUCUGUUAUUAGGGAAGAACAUAUGUGUAAGUAACUGUGCACGUCUUGACGGUACCUAAUCAGAAAGCCACGGCUAACUACGUG